UACGUAGGUGGCAAGCGUUAUCCGGAAUUAUUGGGCGUAAAGAGCGCGCAGGUGGUUGAUUAAGUCUGAUGUGAAAGCCCACGGCUUAACCGUGGAGGGUCAUUGGAAACUGGUCGACUUGAGUGCAGAAUAGGGAAGUGGAAUUCCAUGUGUAGCGGUGAAAUGCGUAGAGAUAUGGAGGAACACCAGUGGCGAAGGCGGCUUCCUGGUCUGUAACUGACACUGAGGCGCGAAAGUGUGGGGAGCAAACAGGAUUAGAUA
This 261-nucleotide ribosomal RNA is filed under the name uncultured prokaryote. RNAcentral describes it as "partial 16S ribosomal RNA". It matches the Rfam family "Bacterial small subunit ribosomal RNA", at positions 524 to 784 of the family's 1533-position model. The record is from RNAcentral.